Molecule: long non-coding RNA, 1112 nt
Organism: Dicentrarchus labrax (European seabass)
Lineage: Eukaryota; Metazoa; Chordata; Actinopteri; Moronidae
Exons: 3
Source: RefSeq, a predicted model, not a curated record
GGACAACACCACUGCCAAGGCUCAAUUAAGGAGUAAGAAGAGGAGCAGGGGAGGACAGAAACUCGGGCUCGGAUAGAUGUUGGUCUUGUCCCCACUGUUGUACUGAGGGAGCAAAGGCCACCCUGUACAUGCAGUAUAGCCAGCCAGUCUCCUUUCAUUUUCCCCUGCUAGUGAAGGUGUGAGGUACUAUAUAUGUCUUUCUUGGAGCUGACUUGGCUUGUUAUGUCAGCGGCAGCCUGUUACUGACCCAGCCUGUCAAGUGGCGCCAAGAAAAAGAAAUAGUGUACAGAAGGAAUGAGACAGACAAGGAGGGAGAGAACAAAAACAAUGAUAAUAGGAGAAAACAUCAAUUAGAAAGAGAGAGAAUGUAAUCCAUUCAGCUGACAAAGGUAAAGGGACUUUUAAGAUUAAAUUUCAGGAUAUAGUCAAAAUUCAGUUGAACUUCUCCUUUCCAGACCUGCCACUUGGACCUUACCUCUCACUGUCCAGACAGCUAUGAAAGCCCACUGUGUGCACAUGUCCGCAGGUGGCAGACAGGGAAAGUGUAGUGUCUGCGGUCGUUUUUAAGAGGUUUGUCAACAACUCACUGAAGGUGACUCUUAACAAAGUUUUCAGUAGACCAGCACCUCAAACUCUUGCAGCUUUUUUUGAUUAGGAAUUGAGCAACCAGGGAGAUGUUGUGGUCUGGAUACUCUGCUGGAGGGGCUUUCCGGAGCAUGGUUGGACAUCCUCUGCCAUGCUUUGUGGUGUUGGGGACCUCUGCUACUGUGGGUUUAACAUCAACAGACUCAGUGCAGACUCAGCUAUGUAGGCCACCCUGUCCUCAGGCUUAACACACAACGAUAUUAACCGAGCCAGGGCAGGAAGAGUUGGUGUGUUUCUUUCGACAAACACAGAGCCAAACGAGUCCCAUGAGUGUUUGGCUUCCUGCUAGGCCAGAGGGAACAAAGGACCAUAGAGAACUCAGCACUCAGCGUGGGACAGAUAUGUCUAUCUCUUUCUCUCCAUCCCAACUCUCCAAAGCCCCAUCCCAAAAACACGCUCUCUGAGCCGCGGUGCCAGCGGGCUCGGCAUCCGCAGCCAAAUCCUUCUCAUCAAGUAGGCCUGUGCAG